GUACCUACGGGAGGCAGCAGUGAGGAAUAUUGGUCAAUGGUCGGGAGACUGAACCAGCCAAGCCGCGUGAGGGAUGAAGGUACAGAGUAUCGUAAACCUCUUUUGUCAGGGAACAAAGGCGGGGACGCGUCCCCGGAUGAGUGUACCUGAAGAAAAAGCAUCGGCUAACUCCGUGCCAGCAGCCGCGGUAAUACGGAGGAUGCGAGCGUUAUCCGGAUUUAUUGGGUUUAAAGGGUGCGCAGGCGGGCUGUUAAGCCGGCGGGAAAAAUUCAGGGGUCAAACCUG
RNAcentral lists this ribosomal RNA (285 nucleotides) under uncultured bacterium. RNAcentral describes it as "partial 16S ribosomal RNA". It matches the Rfam family "Bacterial small subunit ribosomal RNA", at positions 335 to 617 of the family's 1533-position model. The record is from RNAcentral.